Molecule: ribosomal RNA, 237 nt
Filed under: uncultured bacterium
Lineage: Bacteria
Description: partial 16S ribosomal RNA
Rfam family: Bacterial small subunit ribosomal RNA
Source: RNAcentral
CCGGGGGUAGGGAGGUAAUAGUUCUGGGAAACGGCUCGAUGGAGGGGGAUAACUACUGGAAACGGUAGCUAAUACCGCAUAACGUCGCAAGACCAAAGAGGGGGACCUUCGGGCCUCUUGCCAUCGGAUGUGCCCAGAUGGGAUUAGCUAGUAGGUGGGGUAACGGCUCACCUAGGCGACGAUCCCUAGCUGGUCUGAGAGGAUGACCAGCCACACUGGAACUGAGACACGGUCCAG